RNAcentral lists this ribosomal RNA (730 nucleotides) under Clostridium perfringens. Its description in RNAcentral is "partial 23S ribosomal RNA". It matches the Rfam family "Bacterial large subunit ribosomal RNA", at positions 465 to 1195 of the family's 2925-position model. The record is from RNAcentral. Lineage: Bacteria; Bacillati; Bacillota; Clostridia; Eubacteriales; Clostridiaceae.
GCUAAAUACUACCUGAUGACCGAUAGUGAAGCAGUACCGUGAGGGAAAGGUGAAAAGAACCCCGGGAGGGGAGUGAAAUAGAACCUGAAACCGUGUGCCUACAACCGCUCAGAGCCCCUUAUGAGGGUGAUGAGGUGCUUUUUGUAGAACGAGCCAACGAGUUACGGUAUGUAGCAAGGUUAAGUACUUAAGGUACGGAGCCGAAGGGAAACCGAGUCUGAAUAGGGCGACUAGUUGCAUGCCGUAGACCCGAAACCGGGUGACCUAUCCAUGGCCAGGUUGAAGCGAGGGUAAAACCUCGUGGAGGACCGAACCACGUUGCUGUUGAAAAAGCAUGGGAUGAGCUGUGGAUAGCGGAGAAAUUCCAAUCGAACCCGGAGAUAGCUGGUUCUCUCCGAAAUAGCUUUAGGGCUAGCGUCGAGUAUGAGUAGUGGAGGUAGAGCACUGAAUGGGCUAGGGGGCAUAGCGCUUACCGAACCUUAUCAAACUCCGAAUGCCACAUACUUUGAGCUCGGCAGUCAGACUACGAAUGAUAAGAUCCGUGGUCAAAAGGGAAACAGCCCAGAUCGUCAGCUAAGGUCCCAAAGUGUAAGUUAAGUGGGAAAGGAUGUGAGAUUUCUAAGACAACUAGGAUGUUGGCUUAGAAGCAGCCAUUCAUUAAAAGAGUGCGUAAUAGCUCACUAGUCGAGAGAUCUUGCGCCGAAAAUGUAACGGGGCUAAACUUACCACC